GUGUCAGUUAUGAUACUUAAAUUUGUCUUAAAAGAGAUAACACAAAAAUCAUACUCCAUAGGAUUACACUGAGGCCC
This 77-nucleotide small nucleolar RNA is filed under the name Procavia capensis (Cape rock hyrax). Its description in RNAcentral is "Small nucleolar RNA SNORD115 (ENSPCAG00000019409.1)". It matches the Rfam family "Small nucleolar RNA SNORD115". From Rfam's summary of the family: HBII-52 is a member of the C/D class of snoRNAs, which contain the C (UGAUGA) and D (CUGA) box motifs. HBII-52 is encoded in a tandemly repeated array with another C/D snoRNA, HBII-85, in the Prader-Willi syndrome (PWS) region of chromosome 15. Lineage: Eukaryota; Metazoa; Chordata; Mammalia; Hyracoidea; Procaviidae. The record is from RNAcentral.